UGGUGACUAUAGCAAGGAGGUCACACCUGUUCCCAUGCCGAACACAGAAGUUAAGCUCCUUAGCGUCGAUGGUAGUCGAACAAUAAAAGCAAACACAAAGAAAGAUGGCUUGGCGAAGUGAAAACGUUUGAAUC
This 134-nucleotide ribosomal RNA is filed under the name Staphylococcus aureus. Lineage: Bacteria; Bacillati; Bacillota; Bacilli; Caryophanales; Staphylococcaceae. The record is from RNAcentral.